Molecule: ribosomal RNA, 490 nt
Filed under: uncultured soil bacterium
Lineage: Bacteria
Description: bacterial SSU rRNA
Rfam family: Bacterial small subunit ribosomal RNA
Source: RNAcentral
AGGACGAACGCUGGCGGCGGGCUUAGCACAUGCAAGUCGAACGUGAAGCCCCCUUCGGGGGGUGGAAAGUGGCGCACGGGUGAGUAACGCGUAGGCAAUCUACCCUUAGCUGGGGAAUAACCAGGGGAAACCCUGGCUAAUACCGCAUAAUGUCCGAAGGUCGCAUGGCCAACGGAUCAAAGCGCAAGCGGCUAAGGAUGAGCCUGCGUUGGAUUAGCUUGUUGGCGGGUAACGCCACAAGGCUACGAUCCAUAGCGGGUCUGAGAGGAUGAUCCGCCACACUGGCACUGAGACACGGGCCAGACUCCUACGGGAGGCAGCAGUGAGGAAUAUGCGCAAUGGACGAAAGUCUGACGCAGCCACGCCGCGUGCAGGAAGACCACCCUCGAGGGCGUAAACUGACUUUUAGACGGAAGAACCACCCUGGUUACGCCAGGGAUUCGGACGGUACCGUAGUCGAAAGUAAGGACCGCUAACUCCGUAGCCCGAG